Molecule: ribosomal RNA, 250 nt
Filed under: uncultured prokaryote
Description: partial 16S rRNA
Rfam family: Bacterial small subunit ribosomal RNA
Source: RNAcentral
ACGUAGGGGGCAAGCGUUGUCCGGAAUUACUGGGCGUAAAGCGCACGCAGGCGGUUCGUUAAGUCGGAUGUGAAAGAUCGGGGCUCAACCCCGGUUUGCGUUCGAUACUGGCGGACUGGAGUGUCGGAGAGGGAAGUGGAAUUCCCGGUGGGGGUGUGCGAGGCGGAGAUGUGGGGAUGAACGGCAGAGGCGGGGGUAGCUACCGGGCUUACAUCUCCCGCUAGUGUGCGUAAGUUGAGGGAACAAAAGG